RNAcentral lists this ribosomal RNA (460 nucleotides) under uncultured bacterium. RNAcentral describes it as "partial 16S ribosomal RNA". It matches the Rfam family "Bacterial small subunit ribosomal RNA", at positions 338 to 795 of the family's 1533-position model. The record is from RNAcentral.
CCUACGGGAGGCUGCAGUGAGGAAUAUUGGUCAAUGGGCGCGAGCCUGAACCAGCCAAGUAGCGUGAAGGAUGACUGCCCUACGGGUUGUAAACUUCUUUUAUAAAGGAAUAAAGUGAGGCACGUGUGCCUUUUUGUAUGUCCUUUAUGAAUAAGGCUCGGCUCACUCCGUGCCAGCAGCCGCGGUAAUACGGAGGAUCCGAGCGUUAUCCGGAUUUAUUGGGUGUAACGGGAGCGUAGAUGGGUUGUUAAGUCAGUUGUGAAAGUGUGCGGCUCAACCGUAAAAUUGCAAUUGAUACUGGUAGCCUUGAGUACAGUGGAGGUAGGCGGAAUUCGUGGUGUAGCGGUGAAAUGCGUAGAUAUCACGAAGAACUCCGAUUGCGAAGGCAGCUUACUAAACUGCCACUGACAUUGAUGCUCGAAAGUGUGGGUAUCAAACAGGAUUAGAUACCCGUGUAGUC